UGAGGAAUAUUGGGCAAUGCCCGAAAGGGUGACCCAGCAACGCCGCGUGGCGGAUGAAUGUCGUAAGAUUGUAAACUCCUGUUAGAGGGGAAGAAUAGUACCGGUUGGACCGGUAUAUGACUGUACCCUCAGAGAAAGCCCCGGCUAACUACGUGCCAGCAGCCGCGGUAAUACGUAGGGGGCAAGCGUUGUCCGGAUUUACUGGGUGUAAAGGGUGCGCAGGCGGAUGGGUAAGUCAGGGGUGAAAGUCUGCUGCUUAACUGUAGAAUUGACUUUGAUACUGCUCAUCUUGAGUGGGGGAUAGGUUGAUGGUAUUCCAGGUGUAGCAGUGAAAUGCGUAGAUCUCUGGAAGAACACCAGUGGCGAAGGCGGUCAACUUGCCCAUAACUGACGCUCAUGCACGAAAGCGUGGGGAGCAAA
This 420-nucleotide ribosomal RNA is filed under the name uncultured bacterium. RNAcentral's name for it is "bacterial SSU rRNA". It matches the Rfam family "Bacterial small subunit ribosomal RNA", at positions 355 to 772 of the family's 1533-position model. The record is from RNAcentral.